RNAcentral lists this ribosomal RNA (237 nucleotides) under uncultured bacterium. RNAcentral describes it as "partial 16S ribosomal RNA". It matches the Rfam family "Bacterial small subunit ribosomal RNA", at positions 334 to 563 of the family's 1533-position model. The record is from RNAcentral.
UGGGCCUACGGGAGGCAGCAGUAGGGAAUCUUCCACAAUGGGCGAAAGUCUGAUGGAGCAACGCCGCGUGAGUGAAGAAGGGUUUCGGCUCGUAAAGCUCUGGUGGGAGUGGAGAAAGAUAGAGGUAGUAACUGACCGUUUUUUGACGGGAAUUACUUAGGAAGUCACGGGUAACUACGUGCCAGCAGCCGCGGUAAUACGGAGGUGGCAAGCGUUGUCCGGAUUUAUUGGGCGUAA